UUAAAGAAUCAAAUUUCUUAUUUAAGUUAGAAAUUUGGGCAGCCAUAGCCGUAAAUGAAUUAAUCUUAUAUACACCAACUUUCUUUGUUCUUUUCCUCCACCCCAAUUUUGAGAAUUGGCAGCCAGGUAUUGAAAAGUGCAGAUGCUUCAUCAACGGUCUUAGUCAUUAGAGGACCCCUACUAGUAUGACCUAUCAUUUACUUAUUGUCAGCAUUCAAACCUUGAUAGAAAAACUGAAGUUGUAACUAUUUUGGCAAACCGUGAUUUGGACAUUUUAAUAACAAGUCUCUAAAUCUCUCCAAACUCUCAUAAAAAGGCUCACCUUGGAA
This 329-nucleotide long non-coding RNA is filed under the name Malus domestica (apple). RNAcentral describes it as "long non-coding RNA (MDOM_LNC012690)". Lineage: Eukaryota; Viridiplantae; Streptophyta; Magnoliopsida; Rosales; Rosaceae. The record is from RNAcentral.